Molecule: ribosomal RNA, 103 nt
Filed under: Escherichia coli
Lineage: Bacteria; Pseudomonadati; Pseudomonadota; Gammaproteobacteria; Enterobacterales; Enterobacteriaceae
Description: partial 16S ribosomal RNA
Rfam family: Bacterial small subunit ribosomal RNA
Source: RNAcentral
UUAAAUUGAAGAGUUUGAUCAUGGCUCAGAUUGAACGCUGGCGGCAGGCCUAACACAUGCAAGUCGAACGGUAACAGGAAGAAGCUUGCUUCUUUGCUGACGA